GACGAACGCUGGCGGCGUGCCUAAUACAUGCAAGUAGAACGCUGAAUGCGGAGCUUGCUUCUCUGGGUGAGUUGCGAACGGGUGAGUAACGCGUAGGUAACCUACCUGGUAGCGGAGGAUAACUAUUUGAAACGAUAGCUAAUAGCGCAUAAUAGUAGAUGUUGCAUGACAUUUGCUUAAAAGGUGCAAUUGCAUCACUACCAGAUGGACCUGAGUUGUAUUAGCUAGUUGGUGAGGUAACGGCUCACCAAGGAUACGAUACAUAUCCGACCUCAGAGGGUGAUCGGCCAAGCUGGGACUGAGACACGGCCAAGCCUCCUACGGGAGGCAGAAGUCGGGAAUCUCCGGCAAUGGAAGGAAGUCUGAAUGAGCAACGACGCGUGAGUGAAGAAUGUUUUCGGAUCGUAAAGCUCUGUUGUACGAGAAGAAUGAGUGUGACAGUGGCAAGUGCACACUAUGACGGUAUCUUAACAGAAAGGGACGGCUAACUCCGUG
Molecule: ribosomal RNA, 495 nt
Filed under: uncultured bacterium
Lineage: Bacteria
Description: partial 16S ribosomal RNA
Rfam family: Bacterial small subunit ribosomal RNA
Source: RNAcentral